UACGGAGGGUCCGAGCGUUAUCCGGAAUUAUUGGGUUUAAAGGGUCCGUAGGCGGGCCGAUAAGUCAGGGGUGAAAGUCUGCCGCUCAACGGUAGAAUUGCCUUUGAUACUGUCGGUCUUGAGUUAUGGUGAAGUUGGCGGAAUAUGUAGUGUAGCGGUGAAAUGCAUAGAUAUUACAUAGAACACCGAUUGCGAAGGCAGCUGACUAACCAUCGACUGACGCUGAUGGACGAAAGCGUGGGGAGCGAACAGG
Molecule: ribosomal RNA, 253 nt
Filed under: uncultured bacterium
Lineage: Bacteria
Description: partial 16S ribosomal RNA
Rfam family: Bacterial small subunit ribosomal RNA
Source: RNAcentral